AACGCGUGUGGAAUCUGCCCUCAGGAGGGGGAUAACGGUUGGAAACGACCGCUAAUACCCCAUAUGCCGAGAGGUGAAAUGAAUUUCGCCUGAGGAUGAGCCCGCGUCUGAUUAGCUUGUUGGUGAGGUAAUGGCUCACCAAGGCUUCGAUCAGUAGCUGGUCUGAGAGGAUGAUCAGCCACACUGGGACUGAGACACGGCCCAGACUCCUACGGGAGGCAGCAGUGGGGAAUUUUCCGCAAUGGGCGAAAGCCUGACGGAGCAACGCCGCGUAAGGGACGAAGGCCUCUGGGCUGUAAACCUCUUUUCUCAAGGAAGAAGAUAUGACGGUACUUGAGGAAUAAGCCACGGCUAAUUCCGUGCCAGCAGCCGCGGUAAUACGGGAGUGGCAAGCGUUAUCCGGAAUUAUUGGGCGUAAAGCGUCCGCAGGCGGCCUUUCAAGUCUGCUGUUAAAGCGUGGAGCUUAACUCCAUCAUGGCAGUGGAAACUGAUAGGCUUGAGUAUGGUAGGGGCAGAGGGAAUUCCCGGUGUAGCGGUGAAAGUGCGUAGAUAUCGGGAAGAACACCAGUGGCGAAGGCGCUCUGCUGGGCCAUAACUGACGCUCAUGGACGAAAAGCCAGGGGAGCGAAAGGGAUUAGAUACCCCCUGUAGUCCUGGCCGUAAACGAUGAACACUAGGUGUCGGGGAGAAUCGACCCCCU
RNAcentral lists this ribosomal RNA (700 nucleotides) under uncultured Prochlorococcus sp. RNAcentral's name for it is "bacterial SSU rRNA". It matches the Rfam family "Bacterial small subunit ribosomal RNA", at positions 112 to 841 of the family's 1533-position model. Lineage: Bacteria; Bacillati; Cyanobacteriota; Cyanophyceae; Synechococcales; Prochlorococcaceae. The record is from RNAcentral.